CCAUCGCUGCACCGAGCGCCUCGGGGCUCAGCCUCUGCGUGUCGGGGCCAUCACUGCACCGAGCGCCUCGGGGCUCAGCCUCCGUGUGCCCAGGGCCAUCGCUGCACCGAGCGCCUCGGGGCUCAGCCUCCGCCUGCCAGGGGCCAUCGCUGCACCGAGCACCUCGGGGCUCAGCCCUCAGGGCUCAGCCUGCCGCGGUCAUCAGUGCACCGAGCGCCUCGGGGCUCAGCCUCUGUCUGCCAGGGGCCAUCGCUGCACCGAGCACCUCGGGGCUCAGCCCUGGGGCUCAGCACGCCGGGGGGCAUCGCUGCACCAAACGCCUCGGGGCUCAGCCUUCGCGUGCCCAGGGCCAUCGUUGCACCAAGAGCUUCGAGGCUCAGCCUCCACGUGCUCAGGCCCAUCGCUGCACCGAGCACCUCGGGGCUCAGCCUCUGUCUGCCAGGGCCAUUGCUGCACUGAGCGCCUCAGGGCUCAGCCCUCGGGGCUCAGCCUGCCAGGGCCAUCAGUGCACCAAGCGCCUCGGGGCUCAGCCUGCCAGGGCCAUCAGUGCACUGAGCACCUCGGGGCUCAGCCCUCGGGGCUCAGCCUGCCAGGGGCCAUCGCUGCACCAAGUGCCUCAGGGCUCAGCCUCCGUGUGCCAGGGGCCAUCACUGCACUGAGUGCAUCAGGGCUCAGCCUCUGCCUGCCAGGGGCCAUCGCUGCACCGGGCGCCUCGGGGCUCAGCCUUCGUGUGCUGGGAGCCACUGCUACACCGAACGCCUCGGGGCUCAGCCUCUGCGUGUCGGGGCCAUCGCUGCACCGAGCGCCUCAGGGCUCAGCCCUCGGGGCUCAGCCUGCCGCGGUCAUCAGUGCACCAAGUGCCUCGGGGCUCAGCCUCUGCCUGCUGGGGCCAUCGCUGCACCGAGCGCCUUGGGGCUCAGCCCUUGGGGCUCAGCCUGCCAAGGUCAUCGCUGCACUGAGCACCUCGGGGCUCAGCCUUUGCCUGCCUGGGGCCACUGCUGCACCGAGCACCUCAGGGCUCAGCCCCUGGGGCCCGGCCUGCCAGGGCCAUCACUGCACUGAGCACCUUGGGGCUCAGCCUCUGCCUGCCAGGGGCCAUCACUGCACCGAGCGCCUCGGGGCUCAGCCUUCAUGUGCCGGGAGCCACUGCUACACCGAGCACCUCAGGGCUCAGCCCUCAGGGCUCAGCCUGCUGCGGUCAUCAGUGCACCGAGUGCCUCGGGGCUCAGCCUCUGCCUGCUGGGGCCAUCGCUGCACCGAGCGCCUCGGGGCUCAGCCCCUGGGGCUCGGCCUGCCAGGGCCAUCACUGCACUGAGCACCUCGGGGCUCAGCCCUCAGGGCUCAGCCUGCCGCGGUCAUCAGUGCACCGAGCGCCUCGGGGCUCAGCCUCCACCUGCCAGGGGCCAUCGCUGCACCGAGCGCCUCGGGGCUCAGCCUCUGUGUGUCGGGGCCAUCNNNNNNNNNNNNNNNNNNNNNNNNNNNNNNNNNNNNNNNNNNNNNNNNNNNNNNNNNNNNNNNNNNNNN
This 1524-nucleotide long non-coding RNA is filed under the name Dromaius novaehollandiae (emu). RNAcentral's name for it is "lncRNA (ENSDNVG00000006168.1)". Lineage: Eukaryota; Metazoa; Chordata; Aves; Casuariiformes; Dromaiidae. The record is from RNAcentral.